Molecule: ribosomal RNA, 426 nt
Filed under: uncultured prokaryote
Description: partial 16S ribosomal RNA
Rfam family: Bacterial small subunit ribosomal RNA
Source: RNAcentral
UGGGGAAUAUUGGACAAUGGGCGCAAGCCUGAUCCAGCCAUGCCGCGUGGGUGACGAAGGCCUUAGGGUUGUAAACCCCUUUUCUCUGGGAAGAAGGUCUGACGGUACCAGAGGAAUCAGCAUCGGCUAACUCCGUGCCAGCAGCCGCGGUAAGACGGAGGAUGCAAGCGUUAUCCGGAAUUAUUGGGCGUAAAGCGUCCGUAGGCGGUUUAUCAAGUCAGUUGUUAAAGACUGCAGCUCAACUGUGGGCGAGCAACUGAAACUGAUGAACUAGAGUGCGGUAGGGGUAGAGGGAAUUCCCAGUGUAGCGGUGAAAUGCGUAGAUAUUGGGAAGAACACCAGUGGCGAAGGCGCUCUACUGGGCCGCAACUGACGCCGAGGGACGAAAGCUAGGGGAGCGAAAGGGAUUAGAUACCCCCGUAGUCC